This 70-nucleotide transfer RNA is filed under the name Gymnobelideus leadbeateri (Leadbeater's possum). RNAcentral's name for it is "tRNA-Ala". It matches the Rfam family "tRNA". Rfam says of the family: Transfer RNA (tRNA) molecules are approximately 80 nucleotides in length. Lineage: Eukaryota; Metazoa; Chordata; Mammalia; Diprotodontia; Petauridae. The record is from RNAcentral.
GAGAAUUUAGCUUAAUUAAAGUAUCCGAUUUGCGUUUGGAUGAUGCGAGAUAGAGUCUUGUAAUUCUUAG